GCGCCGACGCCAUUUGCCCUAACCUCUCUGCGUCGUCUUCUUCUUCCCAACCGGCGCCGCAACCAACCACCGCACGCCGGUGAUUAAGCCCUCUCAAAUCCCCUCUGCCACUUCUUCUUCUCUCUUCCUCUCUUCUCCCGAGCGCCGACGACCGGCCAUUUCCCUGUGCCCUAGCCUGAAGCCGACGGCCAUAGUCCAAUCUAUCUCCGGCGGUCACUGCCUUGCCUUCUUCUGCCCUAACGCUUGUGCCGUAGCCGCCUAGCACUGCCGACACCCACUGGCACAGCCGAGCUUUCCCCUCUUCAUGAGUUGCUGUCGCGCCACCGAAGGAACUUACCGUGCCCUAGAUUUGGCAUCGCAUCGCCAACGAUCUCUCUUCGGGUUGUGGACCAGAAGCUGAGCAUCCGAGCAUGCCCUAGCUUCUUGAUGUCGACGGCUGAUGCUUGUGUGGGAAUGCCACUGUUCGGUCAAGAGAGGGUUUCAAUACUCCGGCCAACCUCUUCCUCCUUUACUCCUUAACGCUACUGGAUCGCGUCGGAUCCCUAAUCGGGGCCUUACUUGGUGUUUAGAUUUGGUGGCACCAUUAUCAUCAGUGCUUUGGAGCACUGGAUUGUUUGGAGAUGAGAGGACGGACUUGAAUUCUUCGCUGGUUGGUGCGUUCUGGAUAAUGUCGGAUACAAGUUAGGCACCAACUUGACCUAAUGCCACCACUAGUAUCUGAUCUAAUCUUCUACUAUCACUGAAGAAAAAGGGAAGCUAGGACUUUGACGUGAGACGAGCAUCUCGAUGUCGGAUUGGACCGGAUACGAUACUCUUAUC
Zingiber officinale is the source of this 819-nucleotide long non-coding RNA. RefSeq lists it as uncharacterized. The record is from RefSeq and is a predicted model, not a curated record. The transcript has 3 exons. Lineage: Eukaryota; Viridiplantae; Streptophyta; Magnoliopsida; Zingiberales; Zingiberaceae.